Molecule: non-coding RNA, 313 nt
Organism: Pelobates cultripes (western spadefoot toad)
Lineage: Eukaryota; Metazoa; Chordata; Amphibia; Anura; Pelobatidae
Source: the annotation of a GenBank genome assembly
CCCUAAUGGAAACGUGGAUCCACGAUUUUGAAAGGCAGAUAUUUUUUUCUUUCUCAGGGGCCCCUUUUUCGUGAGCUGAUCAGCAUUUAAUCUGUUGUAAAAAGACACUAAAGGCUUGCAUUAAUGACAUGCAAAUAUUCUUUAUACUCAUUGUAAUAUCACACAUGUCAUCUUAUAACACAGAACACAACGAAUGUAGCGGAUAUCCAGCAGGCAUGCCAAUACAAAAAGCAUAUUCAUGGACAGGCAAUUAACUCAAUCCAAAAUAAAUUAAUAAAUGUCACACUCUGUGUCCCUCAAAAGAAACACAGAC